UCCGUGGUGAGCCUCCUGCAUUUCACCUGUAUUUUCUGAGCAUUGUUUUCAGGUGGGCGUGUCUGAGAGUCUGAGAGUCUCCAGCUGCAGCCAAUCCAGUCAUUACGGCCCAGGGGAUUUAAGGAGCAGUGUGGCACUUCACUUCGCCGGAUGAUUACUCUAUCUUGGGUAGCUCUAGCCUUAACCUGUCUUGAUCCUGUGAAAUUUCUAGUUCCUAGUCACUAACCUGUAUUUGAAGCUCUGCUUGAUUUCUGUCGUCAGAAGAAAUCCUGAUAAUCCUCCCCUGCUCUGCUCCAGGUUUCUCUUUCACACUCCACCACCUCCAUAACCAGCUUGGACUCCUGCACACCAGAUCACGCCGUCUCCUCCCCUGGCCGCUCGCUCUCAGCCGCUCACCUGCCUCCACCAAACCGCUGCUCCUACCUACUCUCUGGACCAACAGUCCCAUCACCUUCUGGAGCUUUCCUGCUCACCCGGACCUGACCAGUCCCUCCAGAGGUUCUCACCACUACUGCAAUCAAGUUCCAUCCUGAAAUCUUGCUGCCAGCCUGCCCGUCGUCUGUUCCCCUCG
Nothobranchius furzeri (turquoise killifish) is the source of this 571-nucleotide long non-coding RNA. RefSeq lists it as uncharacterized. Lineage: Eukaryota; Metazoa; Chordata; Actinopteri; Cyprinodontiformes; Nothobranchiidae. The record is from RefSeq and is a predicted model, not a curated record.